CCUACGGGAGGCAGCAGUGGGGAAUCUUGCACAAUGGAGGAAACUCUGAUGCAGCGAUGCCGCGUGAGUGAAGAAGGCCUUUGGGUUGUAAAGCUCUUUUGUAGGGGAAGAUAAUGACUGUACCCUAAGAAUAAGGUCCGGCUAACUUCGUGCCAGCAGCCGCGGUAAUACGAAGGGACCUAGCGUAGUUCGGAAUUACUGGGCGUAAAGCGCGCGUAGGCCGUUGAGUUAGUUAAUUGUGAAAUCCCAAAGCUUAACUUUGGAACUGCAAUUAAAACUGCUCGACUAGAGUUUGAUAGAGGAAAGCGGAAUACAUAGUGUAGAGGUGAAAUUCGUAGAUAUUAUGUAGAACACCAGUUGCGAAGGCGGCUUUCUGGAUCAACACUGACGCUGAGGCGCGAAAGUAUGGGUAGCAAAGAGGAUUAGAUACCCUGUAGUCCAUACCAUAAACGAUGAUUGNUANAUGUUAGUAAUUAUUUACUAGUAUCGCAGCUACGACAUAAGUACACUACCGUCCGUCGGGUAGGUACGACCGACGAACGGUUAAACGUAACUAAUAGAAGUUAGUACGGACGUGAGACGUACGCCGACGGACGACGACGAGGGAGGUAGG
This 613-nucleotide ribosomal RNA is filed under the name uncultured bacterium. RNAcentral describes it as "bacterial SSU rRNA". The stretch from base 1 to 513 matches the Rfam family "Bacterial small subunit ribosomal RNA", at positions 338 to 873 of the family's 1533-position model. The record is from RNAcentral.